This 459-nucleotide ribosomal RNA is filed under the name uncultured bacterium. Its description in RNAcentral is "partial 16S ribosomal RNA". It matches the Rfam family "Bacterial small subunit ribosomal RNA", at positions 338 to 795 of the family's 1533-position model. The record is from RNAcentral.
CCUACGGGGGGCAGCAGUGAGGAAUAUUGGUCAAUGGUCGGAAGACUGAACCAGCCAAGCCGCGUGAGGGAUGAAGGUUCAGUGUAUCGUAAACCUCUUUUGUAAGGGAACAAAGGCUGGGACGUGUCCCCGGAUGAGUGUACCUGAAGAAAAAGCAUCGGCUAACUCCGUGCCAGCAGCCGCGGUAAUACGGAGGAUGCGAGCGUUAUCCGGUUUUAUUGGGGUUAAAGGGUGCGCAGGCGGUCUGUUAAGUCAGCGGUAAAAGCCUGGGGCCAAACCCCGGCCCGCCGUUGAAACUGGCAGUCUCGAGUUGGAGAGAAGUAGGCGGAAUGCGCGGUGUAGCGGUGAAAUGCAUAGAUAUCGCGCAGAACCCCGAUUGCGAAGGCAGCAUGCCGGCUCCACACUGACGCUGAGGCACGAAAGCGUGGGUAUCGAACAGGAUUAGAUACCCGUGUAGUC